UCUUUUCUGCCAUGAAACGAAAUGCUGCUUGUGUUUUCUCCAGUAUUGGCCUUUGUUUUUGGUUUCGGCGGCUCUUCAGUUUCCGUCUGCAAAAAACACAGAGGUAUAUAUGAGUAUGGCUCGGAUGGUUCAAUUUUAUAUUUAAAUUUGACUCCUCACAUGAUGAUGAUGAAGAAUUGUUGGUGGUGGUGUUGUGUAGAGCCUCUUUUCUAAAGACUUGGCAUCCCAUUUGAUGGAGUAUUCUCUGGCGAUUUCCUGCAGCAGCUCUACCUUCAUUUCCGUUGACGGGGGCUCUGCUUUGAAUCUCUCUACAAACUGCCAUGCAUGGAGAGUCAGCAGCAGG
RNAcentral lists this long non-coding RNA (343 nucleotides) under Eutrema salsugineum. RNAcentral's name for it is "long non-coding RNA (ESAL_LNC000005)". The record is from RNAcentral. Lineage: Eukaryota; Viridiplantae; Streptophyta; Magnoliopsida; Brassicales; Brassicaceae.